This 492-nucleotide ribosomal RNA is filed under the name uncultured bacterium. RNAcentral describes it as "partial 16S ribosomal RNA". It matches the Rfam family "Bacterial small subunit ribosomal RNA", at positions 29 to 507 of the family's 1533-position model. The record is from RNAcentral.
AUUGAACGCUGGCGGCAUGCUUUACACAUGCAAGUCGAACGGUAACAGGCCUUCGGGUGCUGACGAGUGGCGAACGGGUGAGUAAUGCAUCGGAACGUACCCAGAGGUGGGGGAUAACGCAGCGAAAGCUGUGCUAAUACCGCAUGUGAUCUGAGGAUGAAAGCGGGGGACCGAGCAGCAAUGUUUCGCCUCGCGCCUUUGGAGCGGCCGAUGUCGGAUUAGCUAGGUGGUGGGGUAAAGGCCUACCAAGGCGACGAUCCGUAGCUGAUCUGAGAGGACGAUCCGCCACACUGGAGAUUGAACAGCGACCAGAAGUCUAAGGGAGGGAGCAGGUGGGAAUUUUAGGCAAUGGGGGAAAGCCUGACACAGGAAAGGCGCGUGGGGGAAGAAGGCCCUCGGGGUGGAAAACCGUUUUUGGAGGGAAGAAACGGUGUCCGCUAAUACCGGGCGCUAAUGACGGUACCUGCAGAAUAAGCACCGGCUAACUACGUG